CUCCCUUUUUUGGUCUUGAUGGUUGUGUGGUUGGUCCACAUCAUCGAGAACAAAGGUUCAAGGGUUGGCAGAGGAAGAGAAAAUAUCCACGACGUUGGAAAAGAUGAAUGAUUUUUUUUUCCCCAUUAUAAUCUGUGUUUUUAAGAAUAAAAAUAAGAUAAUUCCCUCUUGUGAGUCUAUAAAUAGGCUGAUUGGCAAUAGAGUUUAGCAGCAAACUAGCGUAGCUAGCACCCAAAUCUAGAGGUGAAAACAUGGCAUUAAUUAAAGCCUCUUCCAUCUUCUUUUGCUUCCUUGCUCUGGCUAGCUUUUUAGCUUCCAUUGAAGGAACUCAACCUACCCAUCACGUUACUCAUCUUAACAGAUCCACUUUUCCAAAAGAUUUCAUUUUCGGUGCUGGCUCAGCUGCUUACCAGUCUGAAGGAGCAGCACAUAUAGAUGGAAGGGGACCUAGUAUAUGGGAUGUUUUCACAAGGGAACAAAAAGGUCUCUUAAUCUCUCUAAUCUCUUCAAUCAAUCCUUGAACCUCUUUGCACAUCAGAUUUCAUAUGUUAUGUAUAUUCUUUUCUAUCAGAAAAUAAAAUAAAAUAAAAUGUAUAAAUGAGGUCAAUUAUUAUUAUUAUUGAUGAACAAGGUCAGUUAGUAUAAAGAACGGCGCAUUCACGCGAUCGAAUUAAACAAUAAUAUAUAAUAAAGGAACCGCUCUAUACAUGCAUAUUGCAUUAUUAUAGAUUUACCCAAAAAAUAAAAAAUAAAAAUCGCAUUAUUAUAGUC
Long non-coding RNA from Ziziphus jujuba (common jujube), 771 nucleotides. RefSeq lists it as uncharacterized. NCBI's taxonomy places the organism in Eukaryota, Viridiplantae, Streptophyta, Magnoliopsida, Rosales, Rhamnaceae. The transcript is spliced from 2 exons. The record is from RefSeq and is a predicted model, not a curated record.